Molecule: transfer-messenger RNA, 355 nt
Filed under: Egibacteraceae
Lineage: Bacteria; Bacillati; Actinomycetota; Nitriliruptoria; Egibacterales
Also listed under: 1 other name
Description: WHTG01 sp009377835 Standard tmRNA
Rfam family: transfer-messenger RNA
About the family: Bacterial tmRNA, also known as 10Sa RNA or SsrA, is named for its dual tRNA and mRNA-like properties.
Source: RNAcentral
GGGGGUGACUGGCUUCGACAGGUGCUGGUCGAUCCCGAAAGAGCGAGCCGAGUACGUCACGUCAUCUCGCAAAACUGUCGUGGCAAACCAAUAAGUGCCAACGAACCUGUUGCACUGGCGGCUUAACUAGCCACCCGUCCGCCCUCAUUCGCCUGAGGUGAGGGGUCGGGCGUCGCUAUCAGGCUCCACCUGCCGGCCUUUCGCCGCGGGCCGGUGGGGACAUCUUCGCGGCGUACGGCUGCCGAGGGGUCUGGACCCGGGACCAGGCGGCCCGACAAUGCGCCGGGUCCUACGCUCGUAGCGCUUUCGGAGUCGAGGCAUCUGGACCGGGGUUCGAUUCCCCGCACCUCCACCA